AGAGUUUGAUCCUGGCUCAGAUUGAACGCUGGCGGCAGGCCUAACACAUGCAAGUCGAGCGGUAACAGAAAGUAGCUUGCUACUUUGCUGACGAGCGGCGGACGGGUGAGUAAUGCUUGGGAACAUGCCUUGAGGUGGGGGACAACAGUUGGAAACGACUGCUAAUACCGCAUAAUGUCUACGGACCAAAGGGGGCUUCGGCUCUCGCCUUUAGAUUGGCCCAAGUGGGAUUAGCUAGUUGGUGAGGUAAUGGCUCACCAAGGCGACGAUCCCUAGCUGGUUUGAGAGGAUGAUCAGCCACACUGGGACUGAGACACGGCCCAGACUCCUACGGGAGGCAGCAGUGGGGAAUAUUGCACAAUGGGCGCAAGCCUGAUGCAGCCAUGCCGCGUGUGUGAAGAAGGCCUUCGGGUUGUAAAGCUCUUUCGUCGGGGAAGAAAAUGACUGUACCCGAAUAAGAAGGUCCGGCUAACUUCGUGCCAGCAGCCGCGGUAAUACGAAGGGACCUAGCGUAGUUCGGAAUUACUGGGCUUAAAGAGCUCGUAGGUGGUUAGAGAAGUUGGUGGUGAAAUCCCAAGGCUUAACCUUGGAACUGCCAUCAAAACUUUUUAGCUAGAGUAUGAUAGAGGAAAGUGGAAUUUCUAGUGUAGAGGUGAAAUUCGUAGAUAUUAGAAAGAACACCAAUUGCGAAGGCAGCUUUCUGGAUCAUUACUGACACUGAGGAGCGAAAGCAUGGGUAGCGAAGAGGAUUAGAUACCCUCGUAGUCCAUGCCGUAAACGAUGUGUGCUAGACGUUGGAAAUUUAUUUUUCAGUGUCGCAGCAAAAGCGUUAAGCACACCGCCUGGGGAGUACGACCGCAAGGUUAAAACUCAAAUGAAUUGACGGGGACCCGCACAAGUAGUGGAGCAUGUGGUUUAAUUCGAAGAUACGCGCAGAACCUUACCAACACUUGACAUGUUCGUCGCGACUCUAAGAGAUUAGAGUUUUCGGUUCGGCCGGACGAAACACAGGUGCUGCAUGGCUGUCGUCAGCUCGUGUCGUGAGAUGUUGGGUUAAGUCCCGCAACGAGCGCAACCCUUACUUUUAGUUGCUACCAUUUAGUUGGGCACUCUAAAAGAACUGCCAGUGAUAAGCUGGAGGAAGGUGGGGAUGACGUCAAGUCCUCAUGGCCCUUACGUGUUGGGCUACACACGUGCUACAAUGGUACUCACAGAGAGAAGCGAAGAGGCGACUCUAAGCCAAUCCCAAAAAAGUACCUCAGUUCGGAUUGCACUCUGCAACUCGAGUGCAUGAAGCUGGAAUUACUAGUAAUCGCGGAUCAGCGCGCCGCGGUGAAUACGUUCCCGGGUCUUGUACACACCGCCCGUCACACCAUGGAAGUUGGUUACACCUUAAGGCAAAGCAUAAAACCUUUGACUACGGUACGAUCAGCGACUGGGGUGAAGUCGUAACAAGGUAACC
RNAcentral lists this ribosomal RNA (1462 nucleotides) under uncultured bacterium. Its description in RNAcentral is "partial 16S ribosomal RNA". It matches the Rfam family "Bacterial small subunit ribosomal RNA". The record is from RNAcentral.